Molecule: long non-coding RNA, 1766 nt
Organism: Oenanthe melanoleuca
Lineage: Eukaryota; Metazoa; Chordata; Aves; Passeriformes; Muscicapidae
Exons: 3
Source: RefSeq, a predicted model, not a curated record
GGAAAACCAAGAAGAUAUCUGGGGCUGAAUCCUGCAAACAGUGUGCACAGUCUUGAUGUUUAACAUCCAGGGUUGCUACUAAUUUUAAAUUCUGAGAGGAGUCAACACCAAGUAAUAAGAUACAUUUUAUUAUGGAAGUGACAAUGCAUUGCUCCUGCCUAAGCAGACCCAGCCUUGAAUCAGAUGAAAUUUUCUGCUGAUCCAGAUUUCUCAGUCUCUCCACGAACCUUGGAGCACCCUCUCCUCGUUUCUGUGAGAAGCUGCUGGUCAGACCUUUGUGAGAGCCAGAAGAGAAGGAAGCCCAGCUGUGAGGAGAGAUGGAGAAGAGCUGUGGUGGGAAGCCCAGCCAUCCAUGCCUGCAGGAGUGAAUCCAGCCUUUUCAUCCCCCUGGCUGGCACAGCUUGUCCUUGUGAGUCCUCUGUGUCCUCUUCUCCAGCUGUGACAGCUCCGUGCCUGUGGCUCUCAUUGACUGAGCCUGUAAUUAGCACUAAUCAAGGCAAGGUGCUGCCCACGCUGCCAGAGGGGAUGGGAGUGCAGCGUGCUGGAGCAGCCUGUGCUGUGGAAGCCUUGGGGAAAUUCUCCAGGCUCCUCCACCAGCCAGGAGCUCAUCCUGGUCCUCACUGGCCACGCCAAGGAAAGCUGGAAAACACCCAAGCAAAGCUGGUCUGCAACUUGUGCUUAUUGAAUGUACCUGGAAGGAAAAUCUAUCAGGGUGUGACAAGGGUUAUUUUAAUAAUCUAAAAUCUUAUUGCUUCUGGAACAUCUGCUUCUUCAUGGAGCAAGAAAACUGGUUUUAAUUUCAUUGCCAUAAUUUCAUGGAAAUAAAUUUGAAAAACUCAAACUCCACUAUGAGUUAGAAAAACAGUAUUUUCUUUUUCCUACCUGUAACAGUGCUCAUAAAACUGCAUAAAAUACAAAGCAAAUAGAAAUAUUUGCAAAUAAUUUCCCCAUUAGUAAAGUAAAAACUUCACCUGAUUUUUAACUUUGCAGGGGAAAGCAGAAUUUGCAAGAGAUGGUUCUUUUGAGGUGAUGGAAGAUGUUACUCAGUCAUAUUCCUUGUCUAGAUAGAAGCAGAUACAUUCCUGUUGUAUUUUAAUUAGUUCUAAACCUAUGCAGGUGAGGAGUACAGUACAGUAUUGUUAUUAAAAUUCAUGCUUUAUAAUCAGAACAGUUAGUACAGUCUCUGAGAACAGCAAACUAAAGAGCUUUUAACUUUGGUUAAUAGUGGAAUUAUCUAACUCCUGCUACCAUUUAACCCAUUGCUAAGUUUUUAAGUAGAGAGAAAGGUUGUGAUGAUAAAGUGAAAUUGUUGCAUUAAGAUCAGAAGGAGAAAAGCUGUGAUCCUUCUCAAAGGCUACAUCAGGUCAGCCAUUAAUUAUGAAUGCUCAUUAAUUAUAAUGGAUUUUCUGCCACAAAAUCUCUUUAGCUGAUCUCUUGAACGGAACUUCAGUAGGGCAGCUGUGACAAAUGUAGGAGGAUUGCCCCUUUUAAAGGCUGGGGGUUUCUCUCUUGUGGCACCCAUGCUGAAACUGAAGCAAAAUGACUAAUGAAGUUAAGAACCUCAUUCUUUUGAAGAUCAAAGUCAUAAAAUUCUGUUAAUUCCCUUUGAGACAAAACUAUCAAUUAUAGCGAAGAGAUUUUUCCCUGUAACUUUUUGUUGCAUUUUAAAACUCCCUAAUUGUUUCCCAAGACCAUCUCCCUUUGUAUUUUGCUAUAAACUAAUUUACUCAAGUGUCAGGAAUCUAAAAAUAAAGUAUCUUUGGAUC